GCACAGCUCAGUAACACGUGGCUAACCUGCCCUUGGGACGAGGACACCCCCGGGAAACUGGGGCUAAUCCUCGAUAGGUGAAGAAUUCUGGAAUGAAUCUUCGCCUAAAGGGCGCUUACACUAUGCUUGUAGGCGUUGCCCAAGGAUGGGGCCGCGACCGAUCAGGUAGUUGGUGAGGCAACGGCUCACCAAGCCUUUUACCGGUGCGGGCCGUGGGAGCGGGAGCCCGGAGAUGGGCACUGAGACAAGGGCCCAGGCCCUACGGGGCGCCGCAGUCGCGAAAACUUUGCAAUACACGAAAGUGUGACAGGGCUAUCCCGAGUGCCAUCCGCUGAGGAAGGCUUUUACCCAGUUUAGAACGCUGGGGGAAUAAGGAGAGGGCAAGACUGGUGUCAGCCGCCGCGGUAAUACCAGCUCUCCGAGUGGUGUGGAUGUUUAUUGGGCCUAAAGCAUCCGUAGCUGGCUGGACAAGUCCCCUGUUAAAUCCACCGAUUUAAUCGUUGGUGUGCGGGGGAUACUGUUCGGCUAGGGGACGGGAGAGGCCGACGGUAUUUCCGGGGUAGGGGUGAAAUCCUAUAAUCCCGGGAAGACCACCAGUGGCGAAGGCUGUCGGCUAGAACGCGCCCGACGGUGAGGGAUGAAAGCUGGGGGAGCGAACCGGAUUAGAUACCCGGG
This 675-nucleotide ribosomal RNA is filed under the name uncultured archaeon. RNAcentral's name for it is "bacterial SSU rRNA". It matches the Rfam family "Archaeal small subunit ribosomal RNA", at positions 83 to 741 of the family's 1478-position model. The record is from RNAcentral.